Molecule: non-coding RNA, 69 nt
Organism: Teratosphaeria nubilosa
Lineage: Eukaryota; Fungi; Ascomycota; Dothideomycetes; Mycosphaerellales; Teratosphaeriaceae
Source: the annotation of a GenBank genome assembly
GGCGACCGUAGUUCAAGGGUAGAAUUGCGCCUUCCCAAGGCGCAGGCCCGGGUUCGAGUGGGUUCACCG